GCGGUCAUGGCGGAAUUGGUAGACGCGCAGCGUUGAGGUCGCUGUGGGGCAACCCGUGGAGGUUCGAGUCCUCUUGACCGCA
Hyphomonas sp. L-53-1-40 is the source of this 82-nucleotide transfer RNA. It matches the Rfam family "tRNA". From Rfam's summary of the family: Transfer RNA (tRNA) molecules are approximately 80 nucleotides in length. Their secondary structure includes four short double-helical elements and three loops (D, anti-codon, and T loops). NCBI's taxonomy places the organism in Bacteria, Pseudomonadati, Pseudomonadota, Alphaproteobacteria, Hyphomonadales, Hyphomonadaceae. The record is from Rfam.